RNAcentral lists this long non-coding RNA (23476 nucleotides) under Nicotiana tabacum (common tobacco). Its description in RNAcentral is "long non-coding RNA (NTAB_LNC014098)". The record is from RNAcentral. Lineage: Eukaryota; Viridiplantae; Streptophyta; Magnoliopsida; Solanales; Solanaceae.
AUGCUUAAGAUUAAACUAUUACAAAAUACUAAAGAAAUGAAGGAAACAAGGAAAAUAAAACUCGAUAAUAGCUUGUAUUCAAUCAUGUUUAGCAUUCGAAUUGCAGAUUUACACUUCACAUGUUGUCCAUAGUUCAAAAAAUACCUGGAAGUCAAAGAAAAAUAAGGAGAAUGAGGGAUUAGCAGCAUCAACAAAAUUAGUUAAGCAAACCAGCAACAAAAUCAACUUCGUUCAAACCAGUAUGGACCCAGAUGAGCACCAAUCUUUGGAGUUUUUUCAGAAAUUCUAACUAACUAUGACGUUUAAAGGCAGAGUCAAAGCCAAUUUCAACCCAAAAAAGUGCAGGGAAUUUCAGUGUUCUUUCAAGGUUUUAAGACUCAACCGUUUUUCAGUUUUUGGUAUUGUAUUUCUCUAAAAUCUGACUUGAGAAUGACGUAACAGGCCUUUUAUAGAGGCUUUUCAGGGCUGCAGAAAUGAACUUCAGUUUUUGCUUAUUACUCCUUUUUUAAUUUUUAUUUUUGCUAGUUAGUCCUUGAUUUUAAAAUCUAUUUUUUAAACUAGUCCCAACCCCACUUUCCUAGCAGCUUCCCAAUCAGUUAUACCAGAUUCCCCUUACUUAAUUUCCCUAAACUACCCUUGUAACCCUAUUAUUUACCCUUAGAACUAGAUACGGGUCAAGUUAACCCAAAUAUCAAUCCCAAAUCAGGUUUGCGAACCCGGCCUAAUUCCCCUCCUUGGGCCUCUGUUGACAGAGCCCAAAUCCCAUUCAAAAACAAAACUCACAAAGUUAAUGGGCUAAACGGAGUUGCCAAAAACCAGAAAACUUUCGAAAUGAAACCAAAAACAAAAACGAGAAAGAAUUAAUUAAAACUAAGUAUGAGAAUCGCAACUAACAUGCUUUUAACCUAAUCAUGCAAACAGAAACUGAUUCAAAAAUGAAAAAUAAUAAAGAAAAGAAAGAUAAAAUAGAAGGAGAUGAAGACGGGGAGAAGAACAAAAGAACGGAAAAAAUAAGAACGAGGGUACCUACAGAAGACAACAAACGAAUCAUGCCUUGAAAAAACUCUGAUUUUUUUUUAUUUUGAGCUGAAAUUGGCCUCAAUCACGUGUUCUUGUUAAGAACAAACGAGCAAGGCCAGUUUUGACUCUUAAUCACUUGUCAAAACUGGAAAAACUCGGGUGAUUUUUGUCUUUUGCUUUUCUUUUUCAGAUUCAAGAUGGGUUUCGUUUGGUGAGGAUUUGAAAGAAUAUGGGGUAGAUUAGGAAUCAGGGGUAAGUGAGGUUUGUAUGGUCGAAGUUUGGAGAGGAUUCGGAGUUGUUUUGCCGGUAAAAAUGGCGGAAUUCUUCAGGCGGCACUAGGGUUCAAUGAGAGAGAUGAGAGACAGAAGAAGGGGUGUUUGGACUAGGUUGUCUGAUGGGGGUUUGGACAUUUGGGCUAAUACAAAUUGGCCCAAAUCAACAAUUCUUUUGAUUUUCUUUUCUUUUCUCUUUCAAUUUCAAAUUUUCUUUUUCUUUUUUUCAAGUUAAUUUAAAAACCUAAAUUAACUUUUCAAAAUAAAUUAAAUCUACCAAAUUAAACUAAUUACUAGUCAACGUAUUUAUAAAAAAAAUUAAAUAACUCCUAGAUUGAAGGAAAAACUAUAAAAUUCAAAAAAAAAAGUUAAAAAAAUGCAAAGUGAGUUAAUUUUUGUGUUUUUGUCUAUUUUUGUAAAACGACAAAUUUACUAAUUAAUCUAAAAUGCAAAAUUAAAUACUAAAUUCAAAUGCAAUGUAUUUUUGUAUUUUUCAUGAAUUAAAUAAAAUUAAACAUGCACAGAAAAAAAUGCAAAUAAUUAAAAAAAUUCUACAAUAAUACCUAAAAUAACAAAUAAUUAAAAGAAAAAUCUAAUUCUUUGGGAUUCUGUUGGAGUAAUUCAUGUGGGGCAAAAAUCACGUGCUCACAGCUGUCCCUCUUUGCUCGGAGAUACGAAGGGUUUUCGGGCAAAUAUAAAAUGAGCAAUUAUGAGGGAUUUUUGCCCAUCUGAAACUCCAUGAUAAGCAUUUUCAAAAUAAACUGACCGAACCUUACUUUAGAGGUUGCCUACAUAUCCUUGGCUAUAAAGGAAUCAGGUCAGUGUAGUUCUGGAAGUUUUGGUAGCUGGGACUACCAGGAAGCUGUGAUUUCACUAUUGCUGCUGUGGCUACUACUUGCUGAACUCCUUUUUACACCAAAAUGAAAAAUAAAAAGCUAAACUAGCUAAGCCUAUCAACUACGAGUUACAAGAUUCCUAUCUAUAAAUCUUCUGAAGCUUGAUCUUGAGUCUUGGAUGGUUCUUGCUGUAGACUCCGAUUUGAAUCUUGAUGCUCGUCAGCUGUAACCGUUGGUUCAUUCUUCAUCUUUGGAUCAAGGCAGGACAUGCGAAACUUGUGACUUCAAUCAUAUCUUGAGCAUUUCGCAUCUUUCUCCGCUUCAGCACUUUGAGUUCACUUCUUUUUUGCUCUUUUAUUCUUUUCUUUAUUCUGGUUUGAGACUCAUUCAUUUGGUUGUCUCGAACCUUGUGCCUCGAGUUAAAACCUGCUCAGACACCAAAAAACGAACGAAAUUUUUCUACCCUAGUUUUCACUAAGAAAUUUUCCUAAGUUAUUUGUAUCUAAAAUCUAAACUAUUUCUUUAUUUGAAAGCAAUAAAAACCAAGAUUGUGUAUCCUAGGGAAAGAGAUUAGGGGGUGGAGCCCUAUAUCUAUACUAAAAANNNNNNNNNNNNNNNNNNNNNNNNNAUUUAGCCAGCAUUAGGGCUCCAACCGAACUGAGCAUUUUUACACUUGGCGACAUUAGGGCUCCAGCCUCUGAGUUGCGUGUUGCAGACUAGUUUUUUCUUAUCCCCGCAUCAGUGCUGUAGAUUAUUAUGGCAAUUAAUUCACGAAAUUUUUCUAGUGAAACUGGGGCAGAAAAAUUUCGUUCGUUUGUUUUGUUUUGUCUCGGCAGGUUUGGCCUCGAGGCGCAUGGAUCGAGACGACCUAUGGGAUGAGUCUCAAUCCAUAAUGAAGAAAAGAAGAAAAAGACAAAAAGAAGAUGUUCUGAGAUAUUGGAACAAACAAAGGGCGGAUCACUCCAAAAUUUAAUCAAGGUCCCGACUCCGCCAAUCCCGUCUCACUCAAUAUCGCAGAAAUAAACAGGCGCCUACAAUUUGCAAGCAUCAAGAUUCGGAUCGAAGUCUACGAGCAGAAUCAGCCAAGACCCUAGAUCAAGUUGCAAAAGAAUUAUAGAUAGGAAUCUUGUAACUAUCGGUUGACAGGCAUAAAUAGUUAGAUUAGUUUCAAUUUCCUUUGGUUGUAAUAAGGCGGUCGGUAAGCAGUAGUGGCAACAGCAGCAGCAGUAACAACAAGCAUUGUCAUCCCAUGGUAGUCCCAGCUACCAAAAUUUCCCGAACUACAUUGACCUGAUUCCUGUUUAGCCCAGGAUAUGUAGGAAAUCUUUGAAGCGAAGAUUCGGUCAAAUCUUUCAAAAAGCGCUUCACAUGGAGUAUUCCAAUAUGCAAAAUCGCUCAUAUCCGCUCACUUUAUCUUUGUACGGAAACUCUUCGUGUUUUCGCACAAAGAAGGGCAGCUGUGAGCACGUGAUUUUUGUUUACACGACAAUUACUCCAAAAAAAACAAAAUAAUAACAAAUGGCUUCGCCGUACAAUUUUUGGAAUUUACGUGGCAUUUUUUGUUAGCUAUUUGUGGUUUUGUCCGUGUCUAUUUAGUCUUAUCCAACAAAAAUAUAAAAAAUAUAUGUCGUGUGUAAGUUUAGGAUAUCAUUCUACUAUUAGGAAUUAAUCGAACCAUAAUCCGGCUAUUAAAAGGAAAAUCACAAAAAUGCAUCUUUUAUUUUAUUUCGUCAAUAAGUGAUGUUAUUUUAAUUAAAUGUUAAUAUGUGUGAUAAUUGUUGUUUAAUGUUUGUAUAGUGUUAUUUGACAAUUUAAUUGAGAGAUUAAAGAAGAAAAGGAUUUUCGGAUUGGGCCAGUUUGAAUUAAAUAGGAACAGGCCCAAACCAAAAUAACCAGUCCAAAUUCCCUUUUAUCCAGUCCAGUUAGGCGGGCCACAUGACUGUCCAAACGACGUCGUUGUGUCACCCUCAAUUUGGACCGUUGAUCUCACUAGAUUGACGGUCCAGAUCACUCACCCAUAACCCCAUUACCCGACCCGUUACCCGGACCAACCCCGACCCCAAUACUAAACCAAACGACACUAUUCGAUUAACCCUUGGAUCCAGGACGUUGAUCUCGAUUGAUCUAACGGCCGAGAUCAAACCAUCCACCUCAUAUAUAAACCCUCAUCUCAUACCCCGCCCCCCUAUCCAAGCACCCCUCCCUCGUCUUCAUCUCCCUCACCAGACCCAAACCCCCACAGAACCCUAGCGCCGCCCCCCUUUCCCCUCACCAUAAACCCGGCGGCAAGAAUGACGGUGACCACCACCUUAACACCCUAGGACCACCUCAACCCCCUGAACACAGAUCCACUAACCGUGGGUCUCGAAUCCUCCCCCACCAUCUCGAAUCUUCAUUUGAAGAUUCGAGCUGGACCUCGACCUACACCAAACCACCAAGAUUCACACUAGACACUCCCCUGACCUCCCUCGUGACCAAACCAAGCUUGGUUUGGUCCGAAUCUACCCACAAAUCCCAAAACCCCAAAUUUGAAGAUUCAAACCCUAGAUCACAAUAAUCUGUGAAGUCUGUUUAGAUUUAACGGAAGUUUGGGGUCUAGUAGACCCUAAUCUAAGUGUUCUCGGUCGAGAACACCUCGGUUAGGAUUUGUUCGACUUCAAAUGGGCAAAUUAAGCUCGGGCCUGGGGUCAUCUGUAUUUAAGCUUUUCUAGUUUGUUCACUGUUCCCUUUUGUUAUCUAUUUAGUCUAGAUUAGUUUAUCGGCAUGUUUAUUUAGUUUGUUUAUUUAUUUUGGGAUUUCUGUUGUCAGUUGUUCUCCAUCUCCAUAAGAUCUGUUAUUUGGUCGAUUGUUUAUUCUGUUAUGUUGAAUCCGUAUAGUAGUAUACAUAUAUCAAUAUGAUUAACAUCGUCGAAUCAAUAAUGCAUGGUUUUUCCCUGUAUCAUGCAAAAUUAUCAAGAACAGUUCAUGCCCUAUUUGUAUUAUUUGUUUAAUCGACUGAUUGUUCUACGUUAUAAUUAAUAUAGUCGAUUAGAUAAACGUCGUCGAUUAGUUUCAUAGGACUGAAUGUUCAAAUGUCCUGAUUCCUGAUAACUUCAUAUGAUUUGAUCGAACCAUGGUCGAUUAGCUGGUUGUUUGAAAACUAUCUGUUAAUGGUUUGUUAGCUAUAAUACAAUAGUUGGAAUUCAGUUAGGAUAGUUUGUUGAAUUUGAACUCCCAUAAGUUCAGAAUUUCAUUUUUUGUUGAAGUGGGGAUAAAACAGUAAUAGUCAGGGGUUUUUAAAAGGUUUGGUUUGGGGUUAUAAAAUUCUGAAAUGCUUAAAGGCAAGUUGAGCUGACAAUAAGGUACUAAAACAUUGAUCCAACUAAUGUAAUUAAUUGACCAAUAAGUGGAAUUAAUGACAUAUUGAGUGCCUUUAAUGGCUGAAAAUCAGAAAAGCAUGGCAAUUUGUAGUUCUUUAAUGAAUUAGGGUCAAUUGGACAGCAUGUGCUGUCAGGAUACAUUCCUGCUGCCCAUGUUUUGGUUUAGUUUAAUAAAAUAAUAAGAGAUAAGUCCUUAUAAUAAUGAGAAAGGGCCUGUCAGGGGAAUCUCAUGGGAGGGGUUUUAUUUUUAAAUGGUUGAGUGGAAAAACAACAAGAGAUGGGAGGGAGUUUGAAUGGUUUAACAGGCUGUAGAUGGUCUGGGGGAAGGCUAUAAAAGAGAGGAGUUUCCAUUAGUUAAGAAGGGACUGAAGCUAAAAAAACUGGGGAGAAAAAAAAACAGUUAUGAAUUAGAAAGGGUCAAUCAGACAGUAGAGAGUUCAGGGCAUUAGUUCUGAAAAUCAGAAAGUGGAUAGUAGAUAGUUUCAAAAAGAGAGAGUUCCAAAAGAAGGGUUCUGAAAAUCAGAAACUGUUUUCCCAUUGAUAUCUUGAUUUCACCUAUUUCGGCAUGUUGAUUAACACUGGUAUUUCCAAGUACCAACUGAGUCUACUGGGUGCUUGUUUCAUUGGUUUGUUUCUGGGUUUUGUCCAUCUGGGGUCUUGAUUCUACUCUACUGUUUGCUGCUGUCAUUUUGCUACUGCUUUCCAUCGGUUAUAGUUGCAUUUCGCACUGGAAUUUAUUCUGCUGUUCAUUUGUUGCUACUGCUGCUGUUCGUUGCUGUUAUUUGUGGUCAUUGCUGCCGUUUGUGUUGCUGUAGAUUUUCUGCUUCCAUCUUCUUCUUCAUUUGUAAGCAUUUCCAGGUACAUACUUCUGAAACCAUGUGUUGAUGUUAAGCUUGAAGAUUGGAGUUGAAAUGAAAUAAAUGAAUGCUCGUCUGCUUCACAGUAUCUAUGCUCAAGAUAUAGCAAUAGGAUGAAUGAUAAAAUAGUUUGUGAUUGUUUAAGCUCAUCCCAAUUGUAUUUAUAUUGUGUGAAUUAGAACGUACUCGAACUCGAUUUUGGGGACUGUUAAAUAGCACGGUGCUAGAUCGACUAGACAUAUUUCCAUAUGUUUUAGCAAUCUAGUAUGGUUGGUGAUGAUGAUAUAACACAGAAUAUUAGCGGGCAUUUGUAUGUAUCCUAUUGGACCUUCGAGUCGUUUUGUCAUGGCCCGAUCCAGUUUGAUUUUAACACAUAUUUCAAGCAAACUUUCAUAUUAUGUUAGUCAAUGCCAACCGAUUAAUCAUUAAUGUCAACUCUCUUGAUUGAAUUCCAUGUUUCAAUAAAGGUUAAAUAGUGUAGAUUAAUAAUUAAUGUUAGCAUCAGCUCACCAUUUAAAUGAAGUGGCUACUAAUUUUAUAGAAUCGGUAGGUUUUACCUAUUCGGAGAGUACGAAUCAAUGUGGCAGGGUUAAAAGCUUUAAUCUAAUAGGCGUGAAUCUAGCAAGAUGGUUUAAAAUUCAGAUCUAAUAAACUUUCGAAUAAGCACUAAGAAUCAAGGUUAAUGUUAUUUUGAAUAGUCAAAAAAUAAUUAUUGGUCUGUUCACAUAAUUAUGCGGAGUUAACCUAGUUAUAUGAUAAUUAAUCUUCUUGGACUAUAUCAUUUUGUCGAUUUUUUGUAUUUAUUUAUAAUUUCAAAUUUUAAGUAAUUUUCCUUUCUGUCUUAACCUAGUACGUAAUAUGUUAUGUUUGUAUCAUGUAGCUAAGUAAGAUUUUCCUCUUUCUCUUCUUAUUUUUAAUAGAAAUGUAGUCACUUUAGAAUAUCCUUAAAAUAAAUGAGACGAGCCUCGCCAAAUAAAACGCAAAUCGCGGGGCCCUCAAUAAUCGAUCAUAAUAAAUACAUAGAAUUUGGGAAUGACUGUUUAGUGAAUUUCACUGCCUUCCCCAAAGAUAAUAACGCGUCGGACUCUUUAGGCGCGAUUUAAUCAAAUUAUAUUCUUAAGUUCGGGUGCACAUUUAUGUGGCCCAAAUUCAAAUCUCAAUAGAGUUGAAGUGUGUUAACAACUACGGGUGCAUUGAUUGUGACGUGGUUCGAAAUGCAUUUUCACGACGUUGCAAUUCUAUAAAAAUAAAUGAUAAUAAUAAAAGCGGUUUAAACUUAAUAAAAGCACAUAAGUCAUAACAUGUAUUUUAAAUCAGAUAUUUAGCCAUUAUAACAAUUUAAGCGACCGUGCUAGAACCACGGGAUUCGAGGGUGCCUAACACCUUCCCUCGGGUCAACAGAAUUCCUUACUUAGAAUUUUUGGUUCGCAGACUUCAUUUGGAAAGUCGAAUAUUUUCCUCGAUUUGGGAUUCAAGAUAAACCGGUGACUUGGGACACCAAAAGCCAAACCUUUCCCAAGUGGCGACUCUGAAUUAAAUAAAUAAUCCCAUUUCGAAUAUUGUCACUUAAAUUGGAAAAACUCCCUCGCACAUCUUAACCCUUCGGGGCCGGACGCGUAAAAAGGAGGUGUGAUGGUGGCCUUGAUUGUUUUUGAUCACUUUAUCUUGGCCCAACUCUUUUGGUGAGAACCUCUGCUGCUGGCUAGCUUUUCUGAAGAUUGAUCUCUCUCCUAAAACCGGGGAACUCGACUUUCCAAAGCUUCACAUGACGGUUCACCCAUGUGGGGCUUUGGCCCUUUCAUCUUAUUCUGCAUCUAUGGGCAUUUGACUUCGGAUUUCUUUUAUUUUCAAUAAUUUUAACUUCAGAGCAUCGACCAUCAUGGCCAGUCGGGAUCGACUUGAUGCACCCGCUGAGGCUGGGUACUUUUCUUUGGGCUUGGCUUUUAUUAAGUAGAACCCUAUACAACCAAUCUUGCCACAUUUUCUUUGUAUUAGUUUCGGAACAGAGUUAGACUGAAAGAGAUUCAUAGAAAAGUAAACAAAGGACAAUAAAGUGAAUUUAAGGAGAAGUGUCCCUUUCGGGGAGGAAAGAAGGACUUAUUUGGAGUGCAUGUAGACUUCAAUCGACAUGACAUGCUUCUUGGACUGGAUACCUGAUCUGCACAACUAUCCAACUUCUGAUAAACCCAUUGUGACCCGUGUUUUAAAACUGAGAAAACUUGCCAAGACUCUGUCAGUACCAAUGGUGGUGAGGGAUUUCUUCUUUUCGAUCAUCGACGCCCUUUGCGGGUUUUCGCCGAUCGACCUCUAUCAUUUAUCUUCUCACCAUCGCCUUAUAGUGCACUUUACGAGUUUUCACUAACAAGGCUCUCUCAUUUUCAAUUUCUCUGCUCACCGUCGACUUAUGGUGCCCGCGGGUUUUCACCAGUAUGACUCUCUCAUUUUAUUUCUCUCAUCUUGAUUGCAUCGAAUCCAAACAACUGCGUUCUCCGAUUUUGAACACCUUUCACCGAUUGAUUGGAAGGACUUGAACAAGGUUUAGGUAAAAAUAAUUUGGAUUGAAUUACAACUUUGGAACCAUUCGGGCGGGAUCAUCUCCGAACCAUUAUAACAUCUGUCUCAGUUUCACUUUUGGGGGGAAAUUGGAUUUUUGUUUGGUAUGAUUGAACCCCAGAGAGAGGAUGCCUACGUAUCCUUUUGGAAUCUAGUCGAAUGUAGUUCAGGGAAACAUUUUGUUUUGUUGUUGUUUUGUUGUCUUUCUUUUUCUUUUCUUUUGUUUUGAUGAUUUUUUUUACAAACAUCUUCAAGUUCCAAAGAGGGUAAUGAAUGGAAGGUAACCGGCUCAAAGGGUUAGCAAAUGAUUGGAGUAUUUGGGGUAGAGAGAACGAAAGCCUUCGUCAUCCCAAUCGGGUAAUGUUGUUGUUAUAGACAUAGUACCUUUUGAUUGCGCCUGCAUUUACAGCUGUUUCGGGGUCAUUCCCUUCAAUGUCUCCCAGGUAUAACGCCCCUUUUAGCAAUAAUUUUCUGAUAAUGUAUGGUCCUUUCCAGUUAUGAGCAAACUUUCCUUUUGCUUCCUAAUGAUAGGGGAGAAUGCGCCUUAAAAUGAGUUGACCAACUUCAAAGUUUCUAGGCCGAACUUUCUUGUUGUAGGUACGGGCCAUUCUUUAUUGAUACAACUGCCCGGGGGGGGGGGGAGACUGCAGUCAUUCACUUUAUAUCGAUCAGGGUUAACUGUUCCAGAUGGGUUUUGACCCACUCGCUGUCUUCAAUUUCAGCUUCAACAAUGAUCUGAAGAGAAGGGAUUUCAACUUCUGCGGGUAUUACGGCUUCAGUGCCAUAAACCAAAUGAUACAGGGUUGCUCCGACUGACGUGCGCACAGUAAUGCGAUAUUUCAACAAUGCAAACGGCAACUUUUCAUACCAUUGCCUGGACCUUUGGAUCAUCUUUCUCAGAAUCUUUUUGAUGUUCUUGUUUGCUGCUUCGACGACACCAUUGGCUUUGGGCCAAUAAGGAGUAGAAUUUUGAUGCGUGAUCUUAAACUACUCACAUAUCUCCCUCAUCAAGUGACUAUUUAGGUUUGUAGCAUUAUCUGUAAUGAUAGUUGCAGGAAUACCGAAACAGCAGAUGAGAUUGGAAUGCAUUAAGUCUACCACAGCUUUCUUGGUGACAGAUUUGAGAGUAAUUGCUUCAACCCACUUUGUGAAGUAGUCGAUAGCGACUAAUAUAAAUCUAUGCCCAUUUGAAGCUUUUGGCUCAAUCGGCCCAAUGACGUCCAUUCCCCAGGCAACAAAUGGCCAAUGUGCUGACAUGGGAUGCAGUUCUGUAGGUGGUGCAUGGAUUAAAUCACCGUGCACCUGACACUAAUGACAUUUCCGAACAAAACUGAAGCAAUCCUUUUCCAUAGUCAUCCAAUAAUAGCCUGCUCGAAGGAUCUUCUUUGCCAAAACAUACCCAUUCAUGUGGGGCCCAAAAACUCCUGUAUGCACUUUGCACAUGAUUCUUCCUGCUUCUUUCAGCGUCAACGCAUCUUAACAAAUUGAGAUCUGGAGUCAUUUUGUACAAGACCUCGCCACUCAAGAAGAAACCGUUUGUGAGCUGUCUAAUGGUCCACUUUUUGUCUUCACUGGCUUGCUCGGGAUAUUCUUUAGUUUUCAGAAAUCUCUUGAUAUCAUGAUACCAUGGAUGAAUAUUUGGUUCUGCCUCAACCGUAUUGCAGUAACCGUGCCUUUCUCGGAUUUGGAUUUCCAACGGGUCAAUGUGGACAUUGCCUGGGUAUGGCAACAUUGAGGCCAAAGUAGUGAGUGCAUCAGUCAAUUCAUUGUGAAAACGAGGAAUGUACCUGAACUCAAUUGACUUGAACCGCCGACUAAGAUCUUCCACAUGUUGCCUGUAGGGAAUAAGCUUGACAUCUCGAGUCUCCCAUUCUCCCUAAGCUUGUCGUAUAAUCAGAUUCGAAUCUCCCAUGAUUAACAAUUCUUCGACAUCUUGGGCGAUUUCCAUGUUCAUACCCAUAAUGCAGGCUUCAUACUCGGUAGUGUUGUUUGUGCAGAAAAACCAAAGCCUGGCUUUGGCUGGAUAAUGCUGACCAGUGGGUGAGAUCAAGAUUGCCCCAAUUCAAAGACCUUUUGCGUUUACAACCCAAUCGAAGAACAUUUUCCAAGCAUUGGUGUCUUCUGAUGUUAUCUCAAUUGAAUUUACCUCUUCAUCCGGAAAGUAAGUACUCAGGGGUUGGUAAUCAUCAUCAACAGGGUUUUCAGCUAGGUGAUUAGCUAGAGCCUAGGCCUUUAUUGUCGUGCGGGUGACAUAGACUAUGUCAAAUUCAGUAAGCAGGAUCUGCCAUUUUGCUAACCUCCCUGUGGGCAUCGGCUUCUAGAAUAUGUACUUAAGAGGGUCCAACCUGGUAAUGAGGUAGGUGGUGUAGGCCAACAAGUAAUGUCUAAGCUUCUGAGCGACCCAAGUUAAAGCACAACAAGUUCUUUCCAACUAAGUGUAUUUGGCUUCAUAACUGGUAAACUUCUUGCUCAGAUAGUAGAUUGCCUGCUCUCUCUUUCCAGUCACAUCAUGUUGCCCGAGGACACAGCCGAAAGAGUUUUCCAAGACUGUCAGAUACAAGAACAGAGGCCUUCCCGGUUCAGGUGGGACCAAGACUGGCGAGUUUGACAAAUAUUCUUUGAUUUUGUCAAAGGCUUCUUGACACUCAUCCGUCCAUUUAAUUACCGCAUCUUUCUUCAACAGCUUGAAGAUGGGAUCACAUGUGGAAGUCAACUGAGCAAUGAAUCGGCUGAUGUAAUUCAACCUUCCCAGCAGGCUCAUAACCUCAUUCUUGGUUCUUGGAGGAGGCAAAUCUCGAAUAGACUUUAUCUUUGUUGGGUCAAACUCGAUGCCCCUCCGGCUGACUAUAAAUCCCAAGAUCUUUCCAGACAGAACCCCAAAUGCACACUUGGCUGAAUUUAGCUUCAAAUCAUAUUUACGCAGCCACUCAAAGAAUUUUCUCAAGUCCCAAACAUGGUCGUCCUGGAUUUGAUGAUCACAUCGUCCACAUACACCUCUAUCUCUUGAUGCAUCAUGUCAUGAAAAAUGGCAGUCAUGGCCCUCAUAUAAGUUGCCCCGGUGUUCUUCAGACCAAAAGGCAUAACUCUGUAUCAAUAGGUGCCCCAGGGUGUGGUGAAAGUUGUCUUUUCCACAUCCUCUUCAUCCAUCAACACCUGGUGAUAUCCUGUAUAACAAUCCACGAAGGACUGUAUCUCAUGUUUGGCGCAGUUAUCAACAUGGAUGUGGAUGUUUGGCAAAGGGAAAUUAUCCUUGGGACUUGUUUUGUUCAAAUCUUUAUAGUCCACACACACUCGAGUUUUCCCAUCUUUCAUUGGCACUGGAACUACAUUGGCUAACCAUGUGGUGUAUCGAACCACUCAGAUCACCCCCGCUUUCAACUAUUUUGUGGCUUCUUCUUUAAUCUUGUCACUGAUAUCAGUUUUGAACUUUCUUUGCUUUUGUUGGAUAGGGGGAUAAUCGGGGUAGAUUGGUAGCUUGUGAAUCACCAAAUCGAUACUUGUCCUGGCAUGUCAUCGUAUGACCAAGCAAACACAUCUUUGAAUUCAAACAAAAGUUGGAUCAAUGCGUCCCGGGUUUUUUCAUCUGUGUGAAUGCUUAUCUUGGUUUCUUUGGCUUCUUCAGAACUACCCAAAUUAACCGGCUCAGUAUCAUUUAAGUUCAGCUUAGGUUUAUUCUCAAAUUUCAAAUUCUUGAUUUAUUUCCCUAAAAGCCUCUUCUUCAUCAUAUUUUGGUUCUUGGUUCAUUACUUCACAAUUAGACAGUGUGUUUGGAUCUGGACAUGAAGUCUGCAAGCAUGUCAUGUUAUUUAAAACCGCAUUAUUAGAACUGAAAGAAGAAAUAAGAAAAAGUAACAAAAUCAGAAAUAAUAGAGAGAUGAACGAUGAAAUAUUGAUUUCAUUUCAUUAAAUUAUCAAGAUAACAGGGUUUAUAUUGGAAAUUAAGGACAAUAAACUAAAAGAAAACAUCCGAGUUACACCCUAAAAUAACUCGUGAUACAGAAAAGGUGGCAGGACUGGACUACCUGGAUUCCCGUCUGACUGGGAAAGGAGUAGCCUUCCAAUUCUGCAACUUGGCAUUGGGCCCCAUAUAUAGCACCUCAGCUAUACUCGUGCCUUCUCCCGGUUGAACCAUGUGGGUUUCAUAGAGCAUCUGUCUCAUAGCCCCACAGAUUUCUUCAAUUUCCUCGGCCGUGAAGGCCUCAUAUUCCUCUUCCUCAUUGUACUUAGAAAUGACAAAUGUUCUAUAAAGAUGCGGAACCGGCUGAGGCAAGACCUAACCAUUGUUCUUUCGUUUAUCUGCCCAUGUUUCAUCAGCUGGCGUGGGUUGGAAACCCACCCCAAAGAACUUCUCGCUAGCAGCCAGAGUAAUAGGUUCUGUGAUUCCUUGCAAUGACAGCCCGAGCCCCUUCCCGGGUUUAUAACCAUGCUUGAUCAUUUCCUUGGCAACCACAAUUAACGCAUUUGAGAGAAAGUGUUGAGGACAAGGGUUUCUUUCUUCACAUUGGUCUGCGACCACAACCUCGAAAGCUUGAUAGACUAUAUGUUCACUUCCUUCCCUAACUUCAAGACAUGGGACUGACGGGUCCCGGUAAAUUGACUGCGCAUCUUCUCCAUGAACUACAAUCUCCUGAUCUUCAUAUUCAAAUUUUACCAUCUGGUGGAGAGUAGAAGGUACAGCCCCUGCUGCGUGAAUCCAAGGUCUUCCCAAGAGGAAAUUAUAGAAAGUAUCCAUGUCUAGGACCUGAAAGGUCACCUCGAAAUCCACCAGACCAAUAGUCAGAAUCAAAUCAAUCUCACAUAUGUUGUCUCUUUUGAUACCAUCAAAGGCAUGCACAUAGACAUUGUUGGGCCUGAUUCUCUUAGUACUGAUCUCCAUUCUUUGCAGAGUCGAGAGAGGGAAAAUAUCUACUCCGGAACCACUGUCCAGCAUGACCCUUUUCACAUAAUAUCCCUCGCAUUUAACUGUCAGAUGAAGGGUUUUGUUGUGGGCGGCCCCUUCCGGGGGCAGAUCAAACUUGCUGAAAGAAAUUUGAUUGACUGCAAAAAAUCGUUCUGACAUCCUUUCCAGUUGUUCCACAGUGGUUUUAAUGGGAACAUACGCUUCAUUGAGGGUUUUGAUCAACACUUUCUGAUGUUUAGUUGAAUUCAUUAGUAGAGACAACAAAGAGACCUGAGCAGGAGACUUCCGGAGUUGAUCAAUUAUCUCGUAGCUCGCCAUUUUCAUUUUACUGAAGAACUCUUCUGCUUCUUCAGCACUAACUGGCUUCUUGAGUGGGAAACGCUUCUUCGUGGCUUUAUUUACUUCCUCCAGAUUGAGGUAUUUCUCCGCCGGGUUGGUUUCAUUUGCUUCUCCCAGGACUUCUUUUCCUUUGUAGGUUACUACCGCCCUGCUAUAAUUCUAUGGGACAGUAGUAGGAUCCGUCAUGGGCCUCUGCGGUGCGCGGCCAAUAACCACGGGCUCAUUCAGCCUUGGUGAAAUUACUGGCCCCCGCACCACAUAGGUCCCUUUAGGCACAUACAUUUCAGAUCCCUUGUUUAGCUCAAACCUUCUUGGAGGGCUCAAUGACAUUUGUUCUUUCUUGUGCCCCCAGGGAACAUAAAGAACCGCAUCUUUUGAGGGCGCUACCCCAGUUUUGGUUUCCACUUUCUUUUCUGUGUUUUGAGGGAUGGGUUUACUCUUCUUCUCCCCCUUGUCUUGUUUUACUACAGCCUUUGUCUUCCUUUCAACAUCAGUGAUUGCAAUUAUGGCUUUCAAAGCUGGAUCGAACUCCUUAUCUUUGAAAAUCAUUCCGAUAACCGGUCCGUUAUUGUGAGUCGGUAAUGGAUUGUUGGUCACAUUAGGAACGUCUUCGUCCUUUAGCACUAUCCGCUUUUGUUCUAUGAGAUUUUAAAUGGCCCUUUUCAGGGUCCAACAGUCAUCUGUUUCAUGCCCUUCCGCUCUCGAAUGGUAUGCACAUCAAGUAUCGGCUCUGUAGGAGGGCGAUUCUAGGUUCUGCCUGGUUUGGGGUACGUGCUGCAACAGACCCAUCUGGACAAGUUUGGGGAAAAGGCUGGAAUAUGACUCACCAAUGGGCGUGAAGUUUGCCAUUCUGGGUGGUUCCCGGGCAUGGGCAUUGUAGGGAAAGCUGUUCUGUGGAGGUCGGGGGUUAUACUGAGCUUGGCGAGGAGGUUGAUUUCUGGGAAAUGGAGCUCGGUUUUGAUUGAGUUGUUGUUGUGGCCUAACGUAGGGCUGGGCAUUCAUUACUGCGUAUGGCCGAGGAACCAUAGCAUAGGCCACAUCCUGAUGGGGAUAGCAAUGUUGUGGGGUUCUUGCAGGGAAGUAAGGUCUGGGUAGACUGGGUUUUCUUACACUUGAAAUUGCCAUUGCCACUUCUUCCUUCUUCUUUCGGUUCGCUACACCUCCAGACCCGCCUUGAAUUGCUUGGGAGGUAGCCCUUAUAGCAGAUUGACUCAAUAUUCGCCCUGUUUUUAAACCAUUCUCGACCAUUUCACCAAUUUUGAUGGUCUCGGCAAACGGUUUCCCCAUCGCAAACAUCAUAUUCUGAUAAUAAUCAGUAUUUUGGGCUUGAAGAAAAACACUAACCAUCUCUGUUUCAUCCAUUGGAGGCUUGACUCUGGCCGCUUGUUCGCGCCAUUUGACAGCAUACUCUCGGAAGCUUUCUGAGGACUUCUUCUUAAGAUUUGACAACAAAUUCUUGUCAGGGUCUAUGUCGAUGUUAUACUGAAACGACCUGACAAAUUCCAAGCCAGGUCAUCCCAGAUAUGCCAAUGAGAUAUAUCCCGAUCCAUGUACCAUUCAGAAGCAAUGCCGACCAGGAUCUCCCCAAAAUAAGCCAUGAGAAGCUCCUUUUUUCCACCUGCUCCUCGCAAUUGGUUGUAGUACCUCUUGAGGUGGGCUAUGGGAUCCCUAUACCCGUUAUACUUUUCAAACUUUGGGGUUUUGAAACCCAAGGGUAAGUGCACGUGUGGGAACAUACAUAGAUCAUUGUAGAACACGCUCUUUUGCCCGCUCAAACCUUGUAUAUUUUUUAGACUCUUCUCCACGCUCCUCAUCUUUUUGGUAAUCUUCUCUUGUUUAGGGUUUUUUAUGGUUUUCUCCUACCCCGCGGUAAACUCAUACCGGGGCGGCUGAAGGUAAGAUUGGUAGUAAACUGGGUUGGUUCUAUUGGGAAAGAUGGUGCUUGAAAGGUAAAGGAUGAUGGAUCAAAGCUAGGCCUGAGCAGAGUGGGUUGUGCCGUAGCCGAACAGGGUGGCGUAGUGAAUAUGUUUGAGGCCACACCUAAAGUUAACACCUGGGGGCGAGCCUCAGAAGGUGUUCCAGCAAAGUGGGCUGAGAUGGUAGGAUAUCCCAAUGGGGUAUUUGGAUAAUUUAUGGGGAUGUUGGAAGUCCCACUUUCCCUGGGAAAUAACUCAGGGAAUCCAGGUAUCGCAUUCAGUGGUUCCCUAUUGUUGGCCUAGGAAUCCCACAUUUCCAUCAUGCAGAGAUGCAGAAUUCUGUUUUCCUCAGCAGUUGCUGACUCGGAAGUUGGGAUGGCCAAGAUCGGACUAUCCUCUGGAAUGGGAACUAUUGGCAGAUGACUUUCCGAAGACAUUUCAACACUUCCUUUUGACCUUGUGAAGUAUGGAUGUGAAGCCAGAUUACCACAAAACCAACCACCUUAAUAUAGAACCUGUACUUAACAGUAGACAACAAACUGGUCAGUUUGAUGCAAUUAACACAUAGGUAGUCGCACAUUGGGGUAUGAUGCACCUAUACAGUUAAGUGUGUUUCUACAUGUUUCGCAACGGUUGCGUGUUUCAUCCCGGCUCUUGCUUAUUUCCCCAAUUUUCUUUUCUUUCCACUUUGGCUCUUUGUGCUUUUCCUCUUAUUCCUGUUUUCCUCUCUUUUUUCUUUCCUCUCUUUUCUUGUUUUUUUUUUCGUUUUUCUUUUGUUUUUUCUUUGGCUCUUUUUUUUUCUUUUUGGUUUUUCUUUCGGUUCUUUCCUUCCACAUUCCUCUUUUAUUUGAGUUAUUUACAAAAAUCAUGACCGGAUCCGAUGAGGAUUGCCUAUGUAUCACGACGCUGCGUGAAUCAGAUCAUUACGUAGUUCAAGAAAUAAGUACGAAAAAUAAGGAAACAAUUUUUUUUUGGAAAUUUUCAAUUUUCAUUAAUAAAACUCCUAAACUUUUAUAUUAUAAAAGACUCCAAUAUACUCAUUUCUUGGAAUUUUAAAAACUACAAACAGACUCAAAACAAUAUUUUAAACUAAAAAUUGAGAUACUGACUCGAUAAAUGAAAAUCAAGAGUACAUAAGUGCUUUUACUCCUGGGGCCCGUGGGAUAUCAUUCGGUCUUGCCACGGGCCUAUGUGCAAGAUCCCCUUGAAGACGCUCCAGAUCACUCAUUAUUUGGCGAGCAAAUGUUAUUACUGCACCAAAGAAAGUGGUUCGAGUCAUGUCUUCACAUUCGUGGCAUUUCAUGACUAUGUAAUCAGCAAUUGCUCUAACCCUCUCCCAGAUAAUACCCUUUUCUUGGAGCAAACGCCCGAUUUGCUGAGUCCUAGCUUCUAGCACUUGAGUGUCAUGAUGAUUUUGACUCUACAGCUGUUGCAUAUCUUCCUCCAGUUGGGACAUCAAUGCAUAGUAAUGUUUCCUUUCGGCUUUAAAGUUCUUAGCUUGUUUGGAUAUCUCAUUUUCGAGGGUAGUGAGCUUUCUCUUCAAAUCUGUGACUGUUCCCUCAUAUUUUCUUUUCAACUGCCGCACAAACUCCGCUCGUCCUUCUGCAUUCUUUAUUAAUUGUGCUCGGGCUCUUGCUAUACUAUCUUCAGAUUUUUCCAAGUCAUCUUGGAACUCGAUUACUUUCUUUCUAAGACCACUUAUAAGCCUUUCAGCUGCUCGACUUCUCUCAUAGUUUACAUCAGUUGUUUUCAUCUUUUGGAUCUGAGCUCUAAGGGCUUUAUUUUCUUGAACCAGCUUCUUCUUUUCCCCUUCAUCGGCAGAAUCUUGGACACUAUUGUCAAAUUUGAGGUCCCUGAUUUGUCCCUCCAAUUUACUUAUCUUGGCCCUAUAGCUUGCCUCUUUCGCCAGCCAGCCCCAUUGCUCCUGCGAAUCGUCAGUGAAUUGCUGGACGUGGGGUCUUUUGGCAUGCCUUUCACGCUCUCGAGGGAUUUGAAACCUCUUACCAAACCACUUCAUGUAAUUAGGGUCUAACUCGCCUUUAGAUAGAUCCUGCAGUAGAGUCUUUGGUUCUAGUAAUCUGUACUCAUUCCAAAUCUGACGAAUAUUUCCUUCUGGGAAUACAGCUUUUGGACCCAACUCUAUGACUUGUCGCUCAAAUCUUCGUCAUGGGGAAUAGUUUAAAACCUGCCCAAUUGGCGCAACACCCUGUGAGGAGCAUAUAGCUGAACGCUCCGGAGACCCAUUAGGAGAAGAUAGCACACCUCGGCUGACAUGUAUAUGACUUCAGUGACAGGGAGCCAUCCGAAAGUCCACUCAAUUUUGUCCGAAGUUAAAGAACUCAAGUGCGCAAACCAAGUCUCUGUACCUUCUGGAAAUUCAACACCUGCCACUCGGUUUACGUGCUCUUCGAUGCAAUUCAGCCCAGUCAUGCCGUAGUUCAUAUACCCCACACGGUGACAAAGAUGUUCUUGUAUCCAAAGUUGUUUUAGCAGGUUGCAACCCUAGAAGAAUCUUCCCCAUUAUCGGCAUAUGGUUAAGGAUCAGUAAAUCUCAGCUAAGAUCAUUGGAACAAGAGUGCCAUUAGCUCUCUUAAUCAUGACGUCGACCAUUCCCACAAGACCCAAUUCUAUAUUGCCAUCUUUUCUUGGGCAGAUUAUGACACCCAAAAAUGCUACUAUAAAGGCCAAACCCCGCCGUGCCUCCCAUUUAUCUUUAUUUUCUGCAUGGGUCAGACCAAUAUCCGGUGCUUCAAAACCAUGGGGAUUGCCAUAGCGCUAGUACAAGAAGUGGAAAGUGUAAAACCCUUCGGAUAAAUUCCCAUCCUGAACCUCCCGACUAAUACUCAACAUAUCUAGAAACUUGUGAGGAGACACUGUUCUUGGCGAAAUCGGGUACCAACUUCUGAGGUUCCCAUUAAGACCGGCAUAGCCCGCAAUUUCCUCUAGCGUGUGGGUGAGCUCAAAAUCAGAAAAGUGAAACACAUUGUGAGUUGGAUCCCAGAAAGGUAUCAAGGCCUCAAUCACAUCCAACCUCGGCUUGAUUUUCAGAAGUCCCACGAGACCACCCAAAACUUUUAUCACAGUCCCUCUGCUGACUUUUCCUAAGUCGUUCCACCACAUAUGGAGCUGUAAAGGGAUUUCCUCAAGAACUUCAAAGGGUUCAUUUUCAUUUGUGCUCACCCUGCACAUUUAUUAGGGUGAUUUAGUUAAAGGAUCAUGAUUUCUUUGGACUCAAGAAAAAGUCAUCAUUACUUUUUUUUCAAAAAUUUUCAUUUCGAAAAUAAUACCCGGCUUUGUAAAUACGGCCCUUCAGCACUUCGGGAAAUAAGAUUUUAGGGCUAUGUUUGCUAAUCGGCCAAAAAUUUGAAAAGGAGACCAUAAGUGGUUGUUUUUGCAAAAACAACAUUCCGGCGCCCUUUUGGGGACAUUUGGCUAUUUUAGGCAAGAAUGGCAUCACCUUACUUAUUUAUGACAAACCAAUAAAUUUUUUUGUUCUUUUUGGGUUGUUUUUUCAAAAAUAAAGUUGGACCCGAUGGGGGUUGCCUACUUAUCCCAUAUCCGAUGAGAAUCAAACUAGCGUAGUUCGGGUAGAUUUGACAUAAUAAAAACAAUACUAAUUAUUUUUUUUAAAACAAAAUUUUCUCUUUUUUUUUUCAAAAUUUCACUAGAGUUUCGGUACUUUUUGGACAUCGGGUUUUUCAAAAUAGGUAAUAAUCUCUCUAUCCCUCAAAUUGAUUUUUCUUUUUCCCAACUUUCUCCUAUUAUUCAUAAGCUGGUCAACAUGCAAAUUCGAAGCAAAUAAAUGCACAAGUAGCAAGUAGAAUGCAUCAGGAUGGUCUUUUCAUUUCGGGUACACCUGUCCUAGACAGACCCACCCCCUUUGUUGAGUCUCCAAAGUCAAAUGCAUGUGAUGCAAAUAAGCGUUCCUACUAGGGAUCCGGUAUGAGGUUUUGUUAUACUAGGUUUAAAACCUGGGUGUAUUGUUCUAGACUUGGCUUACCCGAGCAGACGGCUCGAGCCGAGGGGGGCAGCGUACCGGGAAUACAGAAGCUUCACCGGCUUUGCAACUUGUACGAGCCUCAUUCUAAAAUUGGGAUAUGACUCUAACAGAAAAGAAGUCACACGAAGUGCACACUUCCCAGAUGAUUUAGAAGACUCAGAGAGAAGAGGGUUUCGUAGCAAUUUAUAUACAGUCCAAACAAUAUCAAAGCGGUAAAAGCGACAUUUAGCAUAUUAAGCUCAACAUGUGAAAAUCAGAUAAAACAAGCCAACUACAACAGUUAUUCUAAGCUUGAAUUCUUAAACCCUAAACCAAACUUCUGGGUUUACUGUCCCCAGCAGAGUCUCCAGAGCUAUCACACCUCUUUUUUACACACCCGAGGGGUAUAUGGGGAGUUUUCCCACUUUAAGUGAUAUUAUUCGAAAUGGGAUUAUUUAUUCAAUUCUUAGAGUCUCCGCUUGGAAUAUUUUAAUUGGUGUUCCAAGUCACCGAUUUAUUUUAAAUCCCAAAUCAUGGAAAUUCGACUUUCCUUUUAAAGUCUGCAAACCAUAUAUUCUAAGUAAGGAAUUCUGUUAACCCGGGAGAAGGUGUUAGGCACUCCCGGGUUCCGUGGUUCUAGCACGGUCGCUUAAACUAUUAUAAUUGGCCUAUUAUCCGAUUUAUUACAUGUUUUAGCCUAUGGUGCAUUUUUAACUUAUUAACCGCUUUUAAUUAUUUUAGGAAGAUUCAACGUUAUUUAGAACAUGCCUUGAACCACGCCACAUGAAAUGCACUCGCGGUUCCCGACACAUUUUAUUUAACGUUGUUGGGAAUUGAAAUUGGGUCACAUGAAAUGCACACCCGAAUUUAAUAAAUAAAGGAAGUCAAUUUAACUAACGCGCCUAAAGCAACUACAAAUUUCAAAUUUAAAACACGGUUUGCGAGGGCCAUGGAAAAUUCAAUUGAUGGCACACCUCGAUUUUAAAGAAUUAGUAUUAAUUAUCCGAGGGCCAUGGAUUAUCUAAUUUUGCACUAUGGCACACCUCACGUCUAAUUUUAAAGGAUGUUUGAACUAAUAUUUUUUGAAGGCCAUAAAUUAUAACUUGCUUAAUAUGGCACGCCUCAAAUCUAAUUUUAAAAGGGCUAAUUAAUUAAAGAAGGCUUAAAGGGAUUUGAAUUUAUUUUAGCCUAAUGUUCAAACCAAUUUAAAACUAAUGGGCUAACAUUAAAGGCAAUCAAGUACUCGGCUGAAGGGGCCUGGACUGACAGCAAUUAAAAGAGAUAUUGUGCCCAAGCAACUGGCCCAAAUACCAUAGGACAUGUGACUCCUAUUUACGGAUGGCCUCAAGUCCGGGCCCAAAAUGAGCCCAAACUUGGUGAGGAGAGGAACACGGAAAGGAACAGGACCCAAGAUCGAGUCCCCUACAGAACAAAGAGACAUUUGGAUCACAAGAGCCUUUGGCUCUAAAUUGCCCCUUCAAUGGCUCAAGCUUCAUUAAACUUACACAGUUUUAGCAAAAUAAACAUGAAAUGCAUUAUCUAAUUAAGUUGCAAUUAUGCAGAAAGUGGAAAUACACUAGAAUUAAUGUCAUAAUUUCGCACACAAUGAUGCUUACUAUGGAUACUUUAAACAGUCAAACUGUAGGUCAAAAUACAUCAUCAUAUGGCUGAACUUGUUCAAAUACAAAACCAAAAUCUAAAGAAAGAAACAGUAAGGACCAAAGAAUAAUUAACUGUAGCCUUACAGUCAAUACCAACUUGAAUACAUAUGAACAGAAACUAGCAAGAAGUUUUCUUCAUCCGAUUUAGGAUUAUGGAACUUCAACAUCAGCUGAACCUUUCUCUAAUGCAAAACAGUAGCAAAAUCCCAUAGGAUUAACAUACAACUAACUUGAAUAUAAGAAACUACAUCAGAUCCUCGGCAGAAUCAAAACAAAGGAACAGCAGUAAUUCAACUUAUAUUAUAUUCACAACAUGAGAAAAGCUAAUAUAACAUGCUUAAGAUUAAACUAUUACAAAAUACUAAAGAAAUGAAGGAAAUAGGGAAAAUAAAACUCCAUAACAGCUUGUAUUCAAUCAUGUUUCGCAUUCGAAUUGCAGAUUUACAAUUCACAUGUUGUCCAUAGUUCAAAAGAUACCUGGAAGUCAAAGAAAAAUAAGGAGAAUGAGGGAUUAGCAGCAGCAACAAAAUCAGUUCAGCAAACCAGCAACAAAAUCAACUUCGUUCAAACCAGUAUGGACCCAGAUGAGCACUAAUCAUUGGAGUUUUUUCAGAAAUUCUAACUAACUAUGACGUUUAAAGGUAGAGUCAAAGCCAAUUUCAACCCAAAAAAGUGCAGGGAAUUUCAGUGUUCUUUCAAGGUUUUAAGACUCAACCGUUUUUCAGUUUUUGGUAUUGUAUUUCUCUAAAAUCUGACUUGAGAAUGAAGUAACAGGCCUUUUAUAGAGGUUUUUCAGGGCUGCAGAAAUGAACUUCAGUUUUUGCUUAUUACUCCUUUUUUAAUUUUUAUUUUUGCUAGUUAGUCCUUGAUUUUAAAAUCUAUUUUUUAAACUAGCCCCAACCCCACUUUCCUAGCAGCUUCCCAAUCAGUUAUACAAGAUUCUCCUUACUUAAUUUCCCUAAACUACCAUUGUAACCCCUAUUAUUUACCCUUAGAACUGGAUACGAGUCAAGUUGACCCAAAUAUCAAUCCCAAAUCAGAUUUGCAAACCCGGCCUAAUUCCCCUCCUUGGGCCUCUGUUGACAGAGCCCAAAUCCCAUUCAAAAACAAAACUCACAAAGUUAAUGGGCUAAACGGAGUUGCCAAAAACCAAAAUACUUUCGAAAUGAAACCAAAAGCAAAAACGAGAAAGAAUUAAUUAAAACUAAGUAUGAGAAUAGAAACUAACAUGCUUUUAACCUAAUCAUGUAAAUAGAAACUGAUUCAAAAACGAAAAAUAAUAAAGAAAAGAAAAGAUGAAACGGAAGGAGAUGAAGACGAGGAGAAGAACAAAAGAACGAAAAAAAUAAGAACGAGGGUACCUACAGAAGACAGCAAACAAAUCAUGGCUUGAAAAAACUAUGAUUUUUUUUUUGAUUUUGAGCCGAAAUUGGCCUCAAUCACGUGUUCUUGUUAAGAACAAACGACCAAGGCCAGUUUCGACUCUUAAUCACUUGUCAAAACUAGAAAAACUCGGGUGAUUUUUGUCUUCUGCUUUUCUUUUUCAGAUCCAAGAUGGGUUUCAUUUGGUGAGGAUUCGAAAGAAUAUGGGGGUAGAUUAGGAAUCAGGGGUGAGUGAGGGUUGUAUGGUCGAAGUUUGGAGAGGAUUCAAAGUUGUUUUGCCGGUGAAAAUGGCGGAAUUCUUCAGGCGACGCUAGGGUUCAAUGAGAGAGAUGAGAGACAGAAGAAGGGGUGUUUGGACUAGGUUGUCUGAUGGGGGUUUGGACAUUUUUAAUAAAAAUGGG